UACAGAGGGCCCAAGCGUUGUUCGGAUUCACUGGGCGUAAAGGGUGCGUAGGCGGUCGGGUAAGUCUGAUGUGAAAUCUCACAGCUUAACUGUGAAACUGCAUUGGAUACUAUUCGGCUAGAGAGUUGGAGGGGGGACUGGAAUUCUUGGUGUAGCAGUGAAAUGCGUAGAUAUCAAGAGGAACACCAGUGGCGAAGGCGAGUCCCUGGACAACUUCUGACGCUGAGGCACGAAAGCUAGGGGAGCAAACAGG
Molecule: ribosomal RNA, 253 nt
Filed under: uncultured bacterium
Lineage: Bacteria
Description: partial 16S ribosomal RNA
Rfam family: Bacterial small subunit ribosomal RNA
Source: RNAcentral